UACGAAGGGGGCUAGCGUUGCUCGGAAUCACUGGGCGUAACGCGCACGUAGGCGGAUUGUUAAGUCGGGGGUGAAAUCCUGGAGCUCAACUCCAGAACUGCCUUCGAUACUGGCGAUCUUGAGUCCGGGAGAGGUGAGUGGAACUCCGAGUGUAGAGGUGAAAUUCGUAGAUAUUCGGAAGAACACCAGUGGCGAAGGCGGCUCACUGGCCCGGUACUGACGCUGAGGUGCGAAAGCGUGGGGAGCAAACAGG
RNAcentral lists this ribosomal RNA (253 nucleotides) under uncultured bacterium. Its description in RNAcentral is "partial 16S ribosomal RNA". It matches the Rfam family "Bacterial small subunit ribosomal RNA", at positions 524 to 776 of the family's 1533-position model. The record is from RNAcentral.